Molecule: ribosomal RNA, 468 nt
Filed under: uncultured bacterium
Lineage: Bacteria
Description: partial 16S ribosomal RNA
Rfam family: Bacterial small subunit ribosomal RNA
Source: RNAcentral
GACGAACGCUGGCGGCGUGCUUAACACAUGCAAGUCGAACGGAAAGGCCCUGCUUUUGUGGGGUGCUCGAGUGGCGAACGGGUGAGUAACACGUGAGUAACCUGCCCUUGACUUUGGGAUAACUUCAGGAAACUGGGGCUAAUACCGGAUAGGAGCUCCUGCUGCAUGGUGGGGGUUGGAAAGUUUCGGCGGUUGGGGAUGGACUCGCGGCUUAUCAGCUUGUUGGUGGGGUAGUGGCUUACCAAGGCUUUGACGGGUAGCCGGCCUGAGAGGGUGACCGGCCACAAUGGGACUGAGAUACGGCCCAGACUCCUACGGGAGGCAGCAGGGGGGAAUAUUGCACAAUGGGCGGAAGCCUGAUGCAGCAACGCCGCGUGCGGGAUGACGGCCUGCGGGUUGUAAACCGCUUUCGCCUGUGACGAAGCGUGAGUGACGGUAAUGGGUAAAGAAGCACCGGCUAACUACGUG